GUUGACGUCGCGAAUAACCGCAGCCGCUAGGUUUUAGCGCACGCGUCGGCAAUCGACAUAAGGAACUACCCCUUUAUUCUCCCCUUAUCUCCUCUUGCCGUUCAUUUGCGUCAUUUCUGCCGCCGCACACCAGCCAAUUUAGGACGUUCAGGGACCGGACCAACUGGAGCGUUGAUGGAAGAUGAUGCAAUUAUGAAGGGAGACAAACUUAUAUUGAGGGGGUUGAAGUUCCAUGGAUAUCAUGGGGUGAAGGCAGAAGAAAGGAAGCUGGGUCAGAAGUUCUUGGUGGAUGUUGAUGCAUGGAUGGACCUCCUGCCUGCUGGUAAAUCUGAUAAUUUGUCAGAUACUGUGAGUUACACUGAUAUUUACCGAAUAGUAAAAGAAACUGUGGAAGGGCCUGCUCAGAAUCUUCUGGAGUCGGUGGCUCAACUCAUUGCGUCUACCACUUUUACAAAGCAUCCCCAGAUAUCGGCUGUUCGUGUGAAAGUUGGAAAACCUCAUGUGGCUGUUCCUGGUUCUGUUGACUACUUGGGCGUUGAGAUUCUCAGGCACCGAAGUGUUGACAUACCAAACCGUGCUGCUUAGUCAAGAUGCUUUGAAAUAAGGGUUCUUCUAUUACCUGAUGAUACUGUCCUUGCGGCUCGCUUGACUGUCAUUUGCAGCGGCAACAAUGCAUUCGACUCGCAUGCCACGAUCUAAUGCAGCAACCAAGUUGACCUUCGUAAUCCGAAGGUCAACCUUGUAAGGAAAAACACAGAUGUCUCUCCCAGCCCACCGCUUCUCCCACAAAACAGAGCCAACUGAUGUUGAAGUUGGCAUUGGGGGCUUCAGUAAUAAGUAGGUGUGCUGCAAUGGCGCUUUACUCUGCAACUUGUUGUACUCUGGGAAGAUAUGGAAACGGUAGCCCAUAUCACGUCAAUCAAAGUGGAUGGCUUCCAGGAGGAAGUGCGAAUUCAUUUCGAGGGGGAGAGAUUCGCAGAGUCGGGGGAACCAGACUGGGGGGAGCGAUUGGCGAUUUGCAUUCAGAAGAUAAAAAAUAACCACGUUGAUAAUCUGUACAAGGUGUAAGGGCUUCUUAUAAAAUUUCUUGACGACCGAAACUCUGGAGUCUGAAUAUCAGAGAGUCGGAAAUUGAGGCAACCUGAUACACCAACGAAAGAAACCUCAUGACCAUAAUUAUUUAUUGGAAUUCUAAUUAAACUGAAACCUUAAUCGUUUAAAAUUUGAUUACCUAGUUUUCAAGUUUGAUUCAUUCUCCCAUUGCUCUUUGAAAAAGUUCAACAAUUACACCUUUUUCCUUGACAUACCAACGAAACAUCAUGUGAUUGUGCCACUUUUACAGAGAUCACUGUAGAAAUCCUUUUCCUCAUUCGAAAAAGAGCUCCAAAAUCAGAAUCAUUAGGGGCUGUUUAUGCACAAUCUGAUCAGCCUUCCCAAUCAGUGAUUUUUACCAGUGAACAUUCUUCAAUUCAGUCUGCUGGAGGCCUCCAUGGACAGAUAUCCCAUCAUAUCAUUGCAUGACUAGCAUUGAUACUUAUUCUUUCAUGUAUAAUCUCCUGUGCAGCGUAAUCGGGUGAAUGUGUAAAGUGGCUUCAAAUCUGUCAGAAAACUUCUACGAAAAAAGCCCGCUGCAGCUUCACAAGGACGACAGUUUGCUGCAACUUUUUCAAGCUUGGGGUACAGCACCAAGACUUCCAUGGUCAACCUACCCUACUAAAUGUUUAAACUAUGAUUAUUCAAUCAAAUGGAAACAAAAAUGGAUAAUAUAUCCAAAUAUGUAAUAAAUAAUAUGUUGUGUGAGGGUCAGUCAAGAAUUAUUUUGAA
Molecule: RNA transcript, 1824 nt
Organism: Juglans microcarpa x Juglans regia
Lineage: Eukaryota; Viridiplantae; Streptophyta; Magnoliopsida; Fagales; Juglandaceae
Gene name: dihydroneopterin aldolase 2-like
Exons: 5
Source: RefSeq, a predicted model, not a curated record